This 566-nucleotide ribosomal RNA is filed under the name uncultured Verrucomicrobiota bacterium. Its description in RNAcentral is "bacterial SSU rRNA". It matches the Rfam family "Bacterial small subunit ribosomal RNA", at positions 68 to 642 of the family's 1533-position model. Lineage: Bacteria; Pseudomonadati; Verrucomicrobiota. The record is from RNAcentral.
GGAUUUUAUUUGUAGCAAUACCGAUAAAAUCUAGUGGCGGACGGGUGCGUAACACGUGAGCAAUCUGCCGGGAAGUGGGGGAUAACUCGCCGAAAGGCGAAUUAAUACCGCAUGUGGCCAAGGAAGACAUCUUCCCAAAGCCAAAGUCGCAAGACGCUUCCUGAUGAGCUCGCGGCCUAUCAGCUAGUUGGUGAGGUAACGGCUCACCAAGGCUAUGACGGGUAGCUGGUCUGAGAGGACGACCAGCCACACUGGAACUGAGACACGGUCCAGACACCUACGGGUGGCAGCAGUCGAGAAUCUUUCACAAUGGGGGAAACCCUGAUGGAGCGACGCCGCGUGGAGGAUGAAGGUCUUCGGAUUGUAAACUCCUGUCAAAUGGGAACAAGAAAGUGAUAGUACCAUUAGAGGAAGAGACGGCUAACUCUGUGCCAGCAGCCGCGGUAAUACAGAGGUCUCAAGCGUUGUUCGGAUUCAUUGGGCGUAAAGGGUGCGCAGGCUGCGGGGUAAGUCGGAUGUGAAAUUUAGGGGCUCAACCUCUAAACUGCAUUCGAUACUGCUCUGCU